RNAcentral lists this ribosomal RNA (496 nucleotides) under Shigella sonnei. RNAcentral's name for it is "partial 23S ribosomal RNA". It matches the Rfam family "Bacterial large subunit ribosomal RNA", at positions 422 to 920 of the family's 2925-position model. Lineage: Bacteria; Pseudomonadati; Pseudomonadota; Gammaproteobacteria; Enterobacterales; Enterobacteriaceae. The record is from RNAcentral.
ACACGUGGUAUCCUGUCUGAAUAUGGGGGGCCCAUCCUCCAAGGCUAAAUACUCCUGACUGACCGAUAGUGAACCAGUACCGUGAGGGAAAGGCGAAAAGAACCCCGGCGAGGGGAGUGAAAAAGAACCUGAAACCGUGUACGUACAAGCAGUGGGAGCACGCUUAGGCGUGUGACUGCGUACCUUUUGUAUAAUGGGUCAGCGACUUAUAUUCUGUAGCAAGGUUAACCGAAUAGGGGAGCCGAAGGGAAACCGAGUCUUAACUGGGCGUUAAGUUGCAGGGUAUAGACCCGAAACCCGGUGAUCUAGCCAUGGGCAGGUUGAAGGUUGGGUAACACUAACUGGAGGACCGAACCGACUAAUGUUGAAAAAUUAGCGGAUGACUUGUGGCUGGGGGUGAAAGGCCAAUCAAACCGGGAGAUAGCUGGUUCUCCCCGAAAGCUAUUUAGGUAGCGCCUCGUGAAUUCAUCUCCGGGGGUAGAGCACUGUUUCGGCA